This 254-nucleotide ribosomal RNA is filed under the name uncultured bacterium. Its description in RNAcentral is "partial 16S ribosomal RNA". It matches the Rfam family "Bacterial small subunit ribosomal RNA", at positions 524 to 776 of the family's 1533-position model. The record is from RNAcentral.
UACGGAGGGGGCUAGCGUUGUUCGGAAUUACUGGGCGUAAAGCGCGCGUAGGCGGCUUAGCAAGUUAGAGGUGAAAGCCCGAAGCUCAACUUCGGAAUUGCCUUUAAAAACUGCAAAGCUAGAAUCAUGGAGAGGUGAGUGGAAUUCCGAGUGUAGAGGUGAAAUUCGUAGAUAUUCGGAAGAACACCAGUGGCGAAGGCGACUCACUGGACAUGUAUUGACGCUGAGGUGCGAAAGCGUGGGGAGCAAACAGG